RNAcentral lists this long non-coding RNA (854 nucleotides) under Neogobius melanostomus (round goby). RNAcentral describes it as "lncRNA (ENSNMLG00000007833.1)". Lineage: Eukaryota; Metazoa; Chordata; Actinopteri; Gobiiformes; Gobiidae. The record is from RNAcentral.
CCUCUGGGCGCAUGCACCGAGCCCUAUUCAGCUGCUGUAAGAGAUGCACUGUGUGGAUGUGAGCGCUGCAGUGUGUUUAUGGAUGUUUUACAGAUGGUGACAAGUCAUUGUCAGCCGCACUCCCUCCCCUCUCUACCGGGUUCAACUGGCGCAGGCUCCAGGCCACUGAGGCAUGCUGGGAUAUUCCCCACACCACUGGACUCGACAGACACAAGCCGAUGAGCAGAUAUGAAGGUUGGGUCAAAACAAAACUACUGAGCUCCACUGUCAACGGCGGCCAUUACUGCUCCUCCACAGAAACUGCUCACAAGAUCAGCUUUACCCUCUCCAUGUGGGACCCCCAGAGCUGAUAAAUGCCACUAAAGCUUUACAGGUAAGCAGCAGUUUUAUAAUGAUCAGAAAUGUUUUAUUCUGUUUAAUUCAUUUGCUAAAAUACAAACUUGUGUUAAUUUGUGUCCUACAAGAGAUAAACUCUCCUGAGCUCUUCCACUGUCUGUCUGAAGAUCAUCAUCACUGGACACAAGUCCCAUGGAAUCUUCAGCUCAGAGGAAGUGUCCACCUGCCUCUGAGACGACCUCCACAUUCAAGCUUAAUAAUAAUAAUAAUGCAUUAGUCUUAUAUAGCGCUUUUCCAGACGCUCAAAGUCGCUUUACAAUUUGGUGCAUUAUUCAUUCACUCCAUACUCGGUGAUGAUAAGCGAGGCAACCAGUCUGCGCACAUCAGCCGCCACCACCACCAACCACUCACUCACUCACUCACUACAUUCGCUAGGCUUCCUGGUGUUACUGAACGGUCUCCCAUCCAAGUACUAACCAGGCCCUACCCUGCUUAGCUUCCAAGGUCUGACGGGAUUG